GAACGCUAGCUACAGGCUUAACACAUGCAAGUCGAGGGGCAUCAGGAAGAAAGCUUGCUUUCUUUGCUGGCGACCGGCGCACGGGUGAGUAACACGUAUCCAACCUGCCCUUUACUCGGGGAUAGCCUUUCGAAAGAAAGAUUAAUACCCGAUAGCAUAAUGAUUCCGCAUGGUUUCAUUAUUAAAGGAUUCCGGUAAAGGAUGGGGAUGCGUUCCAUUAGGUUGUUGGUGAGGUAACGGCCCACCAAGCCUUCGAUGGAUAGGGGUUCUGAGAGGAAGGUCCCCCACAUUGGAACUGAGACACGGUCCAAACUCCUACGGGAGGCAGCAGUGAGGGAUAUUGGUCAAUGGGCGCUAGCCUGAACCAGCCAAGUAGCGUGAAGGAUGAAGGCUCUAUGGGUCGUAAACUUCUUUUAUAUAAGAAUAAAGUGCAGUAUGUAUACUGUUUUGUAUGUAUUAUAUGAAUAAGGAUCGGCUAACUCCGUGCCAGCAGCCGCGGUAAUACGGAGGAUCCGAGCGUUAUCCGGAUUUAUUGGGUUUAAAGGGAGCGUAGGUGGACUGGUAAGUCAGUUGUGAAAGUUUGCGGCUCAACCGUAAAAUUGCAGUUGAUACUGUCAGUCUUGAGUACAGUAGAGGUGGGCGGAAUUCGUGGUGUAGCGGUGAAAUGCUUAGAUAUCACGAAGAACUCCGAUUGCGAAGGCAGCUCACUGGACUGCAACUGACACUGAUGCUCGAAAGUGUGGGUAUCAAACAGGAUUAGAUACCCUGGUAGUCCACACAGUAAACGAUGAAUACUCGCUGUUUGCGAUAUACAGUAAGCGGCCAAGCGAAAGCAUUAAGUAUUCCACCUGGGGAGUACGCCGGCAACGGUGAAACUCAAAGGAAUUGACGGGGGCCCGCACAAGCGGAGGAACAUGUGGUUUAAUUCGAUGAUACGCGAGGAACCUUACCCGGGCUUAAAUUGCAGUGGAAUGAUGUGGAAACAUGUCAGUGAGCAAUCACCGCUGUGAAGGUGCUGCAUGGUUGUCGUCAGCUCGUGCCGUGAGGUGUCGGCUUAAGUGCCAUAACGAGCGCAACCCUUAUCUUUAGUUACUAACAGGUUAUGCUGAGGACUCUAGAGAGACUGCCGUCGUAAGAUGUGAGGAAGGUGGGGAUGACGUCAAAUCAGCACGGCCCUUACGUCCGGGGCUACACACGUGUUACAAUGGGGGGUACAGAAGGCAGCUAGCGGGUGACCGUAUGCUAAUCCCAAAAUCCUCUCUCAGUUCGGAUCGAAGUCUGCAACCCGACUUCGUGAAGCUGGAUUCGCUAGUAAUCGCGCAUCAGCCACGGCGCGGUGAAUACGUUCCCGGGCCUUGUACACACCGCCCGUCAAGCCAUGGGAGCCGGGGGUACCUGAAGUACGUAACCGCAAGGAUCGUCCUAGGGUAAAACUGG
This 1437-nucleotide ribosomal RNA is filed under the name uncultured organism. RNAcentral describes it as "16S ribosomal RNA". It matches the Rfam family "Bacterial small subunit ribosomal RNA". The record is from RNAcentral.